UCACAUUAAAUGUUGUUAUUAUUUUAGUUAGUGUUUGUUUUGGUAUAGUUUUGUUCAAUAAUUGGUUACUGUUCAUAUAUUUUCUGUUGAUAAUUGCUUGAAAUUUGCUUCAAUUAAUUUUAUAUCUUUUUGUAUUUGAUUAUUGUUCAUAUGAUUUUGUUCUAUAUGUAAGUUAUUAUAUUGUAGGAUUCGGUUGUUAUUAUUGUUUAUUUGUUAGGUUUGACUAAUGAAAAAAUUUCUCCGUCGGUUUUAGAGGCCUAC
Molecule: long non-coding RNA, 261 nt
Filed under: Solanum tuberosum (potato)
Lineage: Eukaryota; Viridiplantae; Streptophyta; Magnoliopsida; Solanales; Solanaceae
Description: long non-coding RNA (STUB_LNC008070)
Source: RNAcentral